This 329-nucleotide ribosomal RNA is filed under the name uncultured eukaryote. RNAcentral's name for it is "partial 18S ribosomal RNA". It matches the Rfam family "Eukaryotic small subunit ribosomal RNA", at positions 1470 to 1796 of the family's 1831-position model. The record is from RNAcentral.
CCCUUAGAUGUUCUGGGCCGCACGCGCGCUACAAUGAUGAAUUCAGCGAGUUUAUAACCUUGGUUGAAAAGCCUGGGUAGUCUUUUGAACUUUCGUCGUGAUGGGGCUAGACCCUUGCAAUUAUUGGUCUCCAACGAGGAAUUCCUAGUAAACGCAAGUCAUCAGCUUGCAUUGAUUACGUCCCUGCCCUUUGUACACACCGCCCGUCGCACCUACCGAUUGAAUGGUCCGGUGAAAUCUUCGGAUUGAGACUUUGAUUUCUUCACGGAAAACGCUGUUUUAAAAAGUUGAUUAAACCUUACCAUUUAGAGGAAGGUGAAGUCGUAACA